RNAcentral lists this ribosomal RNA (253 nucleotides) under uncultured bacterium. RNAcentral's name for it is "partial 16S ribosomal RNA". It matches the Rfam family "Bacterial small subunit ribosomal RNA", at positions 524 to 776 of the family's 1533-position model. The record is from RNAcentral.
UACGGAGGGUGCAAGCGUUAUCCGGAUUCACUGGGUUUAAAGGGUGCGUAGGUGGGUUUGUAAGUCAGUGGUGAAAUCUCCAAGCUUAACUUGGAAACUGCCGUUGGUACUAUAAAUCUUGAAUGUUGUGGAGGUGAGCGGAAUAUGUCAUGUAGCGGUGAAAUGCUUAGAUAUGACAUAGAACACCAAUUGCGAAGGCAGCUCACUACACAAAGAUUGACACUGAGGCACGAAAGCGUGGGGAUCAAACAGG